ACCUGUCAAACAAGAAGAAGACAAAGCGCACGGCCCCGCUAACAGGAGCUUCAAAGAAGACAGAGAAAGCCAGAGUCUCAGGUCAGCUGCGACCUGAAGAAGAAGUGAAAAUGGCUUUCAACAGGAUGUGGCCCUCCUAAAUGGGGUUUAGAGAAGUCGAACGCUGCUCUCAUGCCUUGAAACAAGACCCUCUCGUGCAAAAGCCAAAGACUCUUCCUCAGUGGCUGUGUAUCCACCCACUGUCCUCUCCCAUGGCCCUGACUCACCAUGUCCAGCAGCCUCCACUUCCCAGCGAUGGGGCGUUCUGUUCACCAAGAGGAAGCUCUGCAUGUAUUUAUAGACAUUUCUCGUAUGAGAAGUCUGAACAAUAACAAACCCCCACAGCCACUUCACCACCACAACACAAAAUAAGGUGUGGGGGGAGGAGAGGAGUGCAGAUAGAAUCAAACUUUAGUUUCACUGUUCGAUGAUGACAGGAAAAUAAAACUGAGAGCACUGCACUAUAGUUACAGUUUACAAGGUGGUUUUGACAGCUAACAUAGAAUUGGGUCAUUUCAGUG
Molecule: long non-coding RNA, 560 nt
Organism: Sinocyclocheilus rhinocerous
Lineage: Eukaryota; Metazoa; Chordata; Actinopteri; Cypriniformes; Cyprinidae
Exons: 3
Source: RefSeq, a predicted model, not a curated record